GACGAACGCUGGCGGCGUGCUUAACACAUGCAAGUCGAACGGAGCACCCCUGAAGGAGUUUUCGGACAACGGAAGGGAAUGCUUAGUGGCGGACUGGUGAGUAACGCGUGAGGAACCUGCCUUUCAGAGGGGGACAACAGUUGGAAACGACUGCUAAUACCGCAUGACACAUAUUGACCGCAUGGUUGGUAUGUCAAAGAUUUAUUGCUGAAAGAUGACCUCGCGUCUGAUUAGCUGGUUGGUGAGGUAAUGGCUCACCAAGGCGACGAUCAGUAGCCGGACUGAGAGGUUGAACGGCCACAUUGGGACUGAGAUACGGCCCAG
RNAcentral lists this ribosomal RNA (324 nucleotides) under uncultured bacterium. Its description in RNAcentral is "bacterial SSU rRNA". It matches the Rfam family "Bacterial small subunit ribosomal RNA", at positions 28 to 334 of the family's 1533-position model. The record is from RNAcentral.